AUGGAUAUCAUGUUGAAUUGAUUUUUAUUAAGUGCAUGAUUUCAAUGGAUAUCAUGUGAUCUUCUAAUAUCGUUAUUCUUUUAUAUAUAUAAUUCUGCUUAUCAAGUAUCAGUAUAAGUUGCAAAGUCCUUUACAUUGUGUUUUCUCUUCCACAAAUGAUAAGGCUAUUAUACGAGAAAACCAUUAUAUACCAAAAUCUAUUGUUUUACUGUCUGUGACAGAAAAUUCCCGCAAGCAUAAUUGUAGUGGUGGUUAGGGCAAUGAAAACACUACUUUGUUGUAGUUUUGUCAAGGAUAUGUUAAUAUUGAUUACUAACAAUUUUCUCGAUAUGCGAGCAUCAAAGUUCGACAGCAAGCGAUUGGAUUUCGAGUUUAAAAAAAAAAAGAAAAUCGGAAGCAAGCCGAGUCCAGCCUUAGGUGCAGGUCCUGUUCAAGUUGGACGACCUUAUCUUUAUUGUCGCUGAGUCGAAGAAUAAAGAAAGUGAAGGAUAAUAAUCUAUCGCUGGACCGUCAUCCUCACCUUAAUAUCCACAAAUAUUAUGGAGUAAUAUCAGGUUCGAUCUUUCCAAAAUUGUCAUUGGUGGAACUGACAUACUAUUUAUCCGAUGUUAUAUCAUUUAUUCAAAGUAUAUAAAACUCUACAAACUAAGAUUAGUUGCUGCUGCAAGGUCGUUUUAAAGAUUUUCAAUGAGAUAGUGAAACACUCUUGGAGGUAUUAAUCCUGCUCUUGAAUAACUUUGCUAUAUAUGAUAACUUAAUAUAUAGAUUAUUGCCAUGGCAAAACAACAUCAAUUUAUGAAGACGAGCAUGUGAAUUUUAUGAAAGUCCCUCUGUUACCAGAAUUCAAUUGUCAUGUUAAUUAUUGUGAUGCAUAUACAAAUGUGUGGGCAAUCACCUGACUUGCUAUCAUUCUUCGAUGACCUAUCGUUUUUGCAAUAUUAUGUUUUAUUUAUUCUAAGGCAAAUGUUAACUUACACCCUCAAGGAUUCUUUGCUGAUGCUUUCUUCUUUGAAGGAGAUCCCCCGGACGAGCUUGCUCUUUCUUUUCCACCUCUUUUUGAAGCCAUAGCCUAGACCUUGGUUUGACUUGGUGUGAUUUUGGGGAAGGUUAGGUUUUGGGAAUGUUUUUGGUGGAAAAGGUUGGUUUAGUUAUGGGGUGAAGGUUUAAGUGAGUUUUAUGAGUUGGGUUGUGGAGAUUGGUGAUGAAUUUGUGGUUUUCGUGUUAGGUCAAAUGGGAUUACGAAUUUGGGUGAUUUUGGGUUUGGGUGGAUGAAAGUUGUUUUUGAUUUGAGGGUUAUGGUUGUAAUGAUGUUUGGGAUUGAUUGGGUGAAGAAAUUUUGUGAUUUGGUGAAGUUUUGAUGGAGAUAUGAAGGUUUGAAGGUUGUUGGAUAUGGAGGUUUUAGAGAGAAGUUUAAAGGAGGAGAGAUGUUUGUGUUGGAGAAUGAGGGAAGAAGAAGGAAAAUAUGUGUAUAUUCCUACCUGGGGUCGGGCACGGCCAUGCCAGCUAGGGGCACGGGCCGUGCUGAGCUUCUGGUGUUUUUGUGUGUUUGGACAUGGCAAGGGCUGGCACGGUCGUGCUAGUGGGAGCACGGGCCGUGCCAUGCUUGGACGAAUACCUACCAAACAAUUUAAAACAACGAAAAACAAACAAAACAAAAGCAGUUAAAUGCGUGGGUUGCCUCCCACGAAGCGCUCCUUUAGAGUCAUUAGCUUGACGGUUAGAAAUCGUCCUUAGAAAGGAUCAAAGAGAUCAUAUUGUGUAGAUGACACUAAAAAGCGUUCUUUCACAUCAUGGUCUUUAAUCAUGCUACAAGAAUAAAGAGCGGGACCUUUCAUAACAUUCUCCAACUCAAAUCCUACCAUCUCAUCAGUCACUUGAAAAACAAUCAUACCAUUCUUAACAUCAACUAUAACACCAACAAUAGUGAGAAAAGGUCUUCCUAGUGUAACGCCCUCUCUAAUUAUUUGAUUAUUUUUAAUGAGUUUAGAAUAUACUUAUAUGAUUUGUGUGAUUUAUAUGAUUUAUUUUGAUGAGUGAUAUUUUGUUAUGAUAUAUGUUAUAUAUUUAUUAAUAUAAUAUAUAUGUUAUUUGAUUUAGAAAUAUAUAUAUGUUAUUUGAUUUAGAAAUAAAUGUGAUUUGUUAUAGAAAUAAAUGUUAUUUAUGAUUUGUUGUAGAAAUAUAUUUCAUUUUCUAUGAUUUGUUGUAGAAAUAAAUGCUAUUUCAUUUUCUAUGAGUUGUUAAGUUGUCGAUGAAUUAUCAUCCAUGAGUUGUCGAGUUGUGUUCUACCCAUGUGAAUUAUAUGGUGUUGACUAAGAUAUUGAUUAUGAUAUUGUUAUAUUGCUAUGUUGUUUAACAUGUUGAUUAUGAUAUUGUUACGUUGCUAUGUUCUCUAACAUGUUGAUUAUGAUAUUGUUAUGUUGCUAUGUUGUCUAACAUGUUGAUUAUGAUAUUGUUACGUUGCUAUGUUGCUUAAGAUAUUGAUUAUGAUAUUGUUAUAUUACGUUGUUUAACAUGUUGAUUAUGUUAUUGUUAUGUUGCUAUGUUAUGUUAUUGAUGAUGAUCGAAUGUUGUGAUUACUUGGUAAUUGUUUAUCAAAGAUUUAUGAUGUUGAUUAUGGUGUCAGUAUGUGUUGAUUAUAUUUAUAUAAGAUGAUGAAUACGUUGUUGUUAUAUUUUUAUAAGAUGAUGAAUACGUUGUUGUAUUAAUAUAAGAAGAUGAAUAUGUUGUUAUAUUAUUAAAUUAUGACGAGAUGAUGUAUAUAUAAUUAUUAUUAUUGUUAAGUGAAUAUUAUGUUAUGUUGUUGUUAUAUUAUUAUAAAAUGAUGACUAUGUUGUNUGUUAAGUGAAUAUUAUGUUAUGUUGUUGUUAUAUUAUUAUAAAAUGAUGACUAUGUUGUUGUUGUUAUAUUACUAUAAGAAGAUGUUUAUGUUAUGAUGUAUAUAAUUAUUAUUAUUAUUAUUAAGUGAUGAUUAUAUUGUGUAGUUUAAGUUAUUAGUGAUGAUGAUUACAUGAUGUUAUCUAGGAGUUGCUAAAUGUAUUUGAUGAUGGUUAUGUUAAGUCGAUAAGUUGUCUUCUAUUCAUGAGAUGUUUGGUGGAGAAAUGUUAUUACAAAUUAAUGAUGUUGUUAUGUUGUAUAUGAAUUGUGAUUAAGAUGUUAUGUCGAAUAUGAACUAUGAGUAUGAUGUGAUGAUCUAUGUUGUUAUGAUUUGGUUAAUACGUGUUAUAUGAUUAUGUUAUAAUGGGGUGAAUAUGAAGUAUAUGAUAACUAGAAGUUGGUUGGACUAUUAAAGAUUAUACAUGAAGAAUUAUUAUUACUAAUAGAUGAAGUUAUUUGUGUUGUUAAAUAUAAUUAUUGAAUUAUAUGCUUGAUAUUAUUGUUUUGUGAAAUCUCACCCCUUCUGCUUGAAAAUGUUGCUCUUCGUAUGGGUAACUUGCAGGUGAUCGAGUUUAAGUUGCUGUUGUGAGUGGAUUAGCUCUCAUGUGUGUCUUUAGGUGCUCUGAUACGUAACGGGAUGGGAAUUUUUAAUGUUGUCUUUCUAUUCCUUACGUAUUGCUUAAAGAAUUUUUAUGAAUAAGAUGUUGAUCGGAUUUGUAUGAUAUAUUAAUGAUGAGGCCUUGUGCCAAAGACUAUUUUAGAUGUUGAACUAAAUUCCGCUGCGAAGUAUUAAAGAUUUAGUUAUUGAAUUUU
Molecule: long non-coding RNA, 3687 nt
Filed under: Medicago truncatula (barrel medic)
Lineage: Eukaryota; Viridiplantae; Streptophyta; Magnoliopsida; Fabales; Fabaceae
Description: long non-coding RNA (MTRU_LNC000425)
Source: RNAcentral